Oncorhynchus keta (chum salmon) is the source of this 890-nucleotide long non-coding RNA. RefSeq lists it as uncharacterized. NCBI's taxonomy places the organism in Eukaryota, Metazoa, Chordata, Actinopteri, Salmoniformes, Salmonidae. The record is from RefSeq and is a predicted model, not a curated record. The transcript is spliced from 5 exons.
ACAUUUUGUCUGCCUUUCCAAGUAUGUGCAUUGAGGAUAAAACUCUCUUGACUUGCGCCUGCAUAUCGGAUGCAUGAACUUCACAAAAACCAUGUGAUCGACGGUGAUGCAGUUUUUGAUGAAGCCCACUCACCACGUGACGUCCAUGAACGUUGAAUUUUGGGCGAUAUCAGGGUUAGUGUUUGAAGUCUUCAACUUCAUUCCCAGAUUCAUGUUUUGAGGAUGUUUUGAGGAUUAUUCUACCUGGCUCAGACAGGGAGAGUCCGCUACGUAUACAGGUGCUGCUGUCGCUGUGCCAGGCCCGGGCCGCUGUGCUCUGCUGCGGUGUGUGGCUGAGUGAUGCAGCGCUACGCUCAGAGCUGCUGCAGUUCAUGCUGGGAGGGAUGCAGAGCCGCCUGGACAGCAGCAUAGUGUGUGAGGGGCAUGGUGGUGGGGGAGUGUCUCCGCUCCUGCAUGGACAUCAACAGAGCUAAGCUCAAAUUCAAGAUCAGUGCAAAUGAAAGGAGAAGAUGGAGGAAGCCACUGGAGACUGUUGAGGCGCACCCCUACAGUAGGCUAUAGGUUCCUGCUGUGUAACUUUCCAAAUCAUGUCCAAUUAAUUUAAUUUACCACUGGUGGACUCCAAUCAAGUUGUAGGAACAUCAAAGAGGAUCAUUGGAAACAGGAUGCACCAGAGCUCAAUUUCGAGUCUCAUAGCAAAGGGUCUGAAUACUUAUGUAAAUAUAGUAUGCUCUUUAUUUUUUAUGGAAUUUGCAAAAAUGUCUAAACCUGUUUUCGCUUUGUCAUUAUAUGUGUAGAUUGAAGACGUAUUUAAUACAUUUUAGAAGAAUAAGGCUAACGUAACAAUGUGGUAAAACGUCAAGGGGUCUGAAUCCUUUCUGAAUGCACUG